RNAcentral lists this small RNA (59 nucleotides) under Caenorhabditis elegans. Its description in RNAcentral is "Unclassified non-coding RNA Y37F4.13". Lineage: Eukaryota; Metazoa; Nematoda; Chromadorea; Rhabditida; Rhabditidae. The record is from RNAcentral.
GCAAAUGAGCUCUCUGAAUGGACUCAAGAAUGUCCAAAAUGUGUUGUAGGUGAAACGAA